RNAcentral lists this ribosomal RNA (346 nucleotides) under uncultured bacterium. Its description in RNAcentral is "bacterial SSU rRNA". It matches the Rfam family "Bacterial small subunit ribosomal RNA", at positions 1 to 334 of the family's 1533-position model. The record is from RNAcentral.
ACAGAUCGUUCAGAGUUUGAUCCUGGCUCAGGAUGAACGCUAGCGAUAGGCUUAACACAUGCAAGUCGAGGGGCAGCAUGGUCUUAGCUUGCUAAGGCUGAUGGCGACCGGCGUAAGGGUGCGUAACGCGUAUGUAACUUGCCUUUGAGAGGGGGAUAACCCGGAGAAAUCCGGCCUAAUACCGCGUAUUCUCAAGUUGCUGCAUGGCAGUUUGAGGAAAGAUUUAUUGCUCAGAGAUAGGCAUGCGUUCCAUUAGGUAGUUGGUGAGGUAACGGCUCACCAAGCCGACGAUGGAUAGGGGAGCUGAGAGGCUGACCCCCCACACUGGGACUGAGACACGGCCCAG